AUGAGCGUACCAAUUGUACCUAAA
RNAcentral lists this small nuclear RNA (24 nucleotides) under Arabidopsis thaliana (thale cress). RNAcentral's name for it is "snRNA_06164". Lineage: Eukaryota; Viridiplantae; Streptophyta; Magnoliopsida; Brassicales; Brassicaceae. The record is from RNAcentral.